GAUGAACGCUGGCUACAGGCUUAACACAUGCAAGUCGAGGGGAAACGGCAUUGAGUGCUUGCACUGAAUGGACGUCGACCGGCGCACGGGUGAGUGACGCGUAUCCAACCUUCCCGUUACUGCGGGAUAACCUGCCGAAAGGCAGACUAAUACCGCAUGUUCUUCGAUGACGGCAUCAGAUUCGAAGCAAAGAUCCGUCGGUAACGGAGGGGGAUGCGUCUGAUUAGCUAGUUGGCGGGGCGACGGCCCACCAAGGCGACGAUCAGUAGGGGUUCUGAGAGGAAGGUCCCCCACAUUGGAACUGAGACACGGUCCAAACUCCUACGGGAGGCAGCAGUGAGGAAUAGUGGUCAAUGGGCGGAAGCCUGAACCAGCCAAGUAGCGUGCAGGAUGACGGCCCUACGGGUUGUAAACUGCUUUUAUGCGGGGAUAAAGUGAGGGACGCGUCCCUUUUUGCAGGUACCGCAUGAAUAAGGACCGGCUAAUUCCGUG
This 492-nucleotide ribosomal RNA is filed under the name uncultured bacterium. RNAcentral describes it as "partial 16S ribosomal RNA". It matches the Rfam family "Bacterial small subunit ribosomal RNA", at positions 28 to 507 of the family's 1533-position model. The record is from RNAcentral.